UUUCCACGUUUCUUAAGAAGUUAAAACUCAAUUUUAUUUCCCUCCACUGAAGCUCCCCUCCUCCGAGCCAGGGGCCGCCUCCGGUGGCGGAGGAUUCUUAAUCUUAAAAAAAAAUACAUCAUCGUCUUCCUCUCCUUGCCCCGAGUCUGAAUCCUAUGUCCAAACUCCCUAAUUCCUUAACAAUCAUUCAAAUUGAAACAAACUACACAUGAACCCUAGAUCACCAAAUGAGAAAUUAAAUGACACUCUUCCAGAAUGAAAGCCCAAGGGGUUAGGGAUUUGAUUCCCCUAACCUUAAUCUAUACUCUGGUAAAUCAUACGCUACAAAAUAAAGAAGAUGAUGAAGAGUCACCGGAGCGGCACAAGAGUCAGGUUUUGGUUAUGUAUUGACAUGUUAAUAGUUUGGAAUGGACAUGGCGUGUAGCAAGGCAAGACUUGGUUCAUGGCAAAGGCAAAAUGACCUAAGUUCAAAGCAUGGUGACCAAAGUUGCAAGAUCGGAGUUUUCUUGGAUGUGAAGUAAUAUGGAAGCUUAUGGAAUCAAGCAUGGAUGUAGAUGCACUCAAAAUUAGGUUUAGGAUGAAGAAAUGCAAAAGGUUGACUUUGAUCAACUAUUUGACCACAAAGUCAACAAUUGACCCAAAAGUCAACUCUUGAAAAAUGUAUAUAUAUAUUUUUUUUAUUUCUUUGUAAUGGAAUAUGUAUGCUUUUAUGAAUGAAUGAAAAAAAUCAAUUAUUUUUUAUGAAAUAAA
Molecule: long non-coding RNA, 750 nt
Organism: Lathyrus oleraceus (garden pea)
Lineage: Eukaryota; Viridiplantae; Streptophyta; Magnoliopsida; Fabales; Fabaceae
Exons: 2
Source: RefSeq, a predicted model, not a curated record